GAAAACCAGGCUAAUACCGCAUGAGCCCUUCGGGGGAAAGCAGGGGAUCUUCGGACCUUGCGCUAUUGGAUGAGCCUAUGUCUGAUUAGCUUGUUGGUGGGGUAACGGCCUACCAAGGCGACGAUCAGUAGCUGGUCUGAGAGGACGAUCAGCCACACUGGGACUGAGACACGGCCCAGACUCCUACGGGAGGCAGCAGUGGGGAAUAUUGGACAAUGGGGGCAACCCUGAUCCAGCAAUGCCGCGUGUGUGAAGAAGGCCUGCGGGUUGUAAAGCACUUUCAGUGGGGAGGAAAAGCUCAGGGUUAAUAACCCUUGAGUCUUGACGUUAUCCACAGAAGAAACACCGGCUAACUCUGUGCCAGCAGCCGCGGUAAUACAGAGGGUGCAAGCGUUAAUCGGAAUUACUGGGCGUAAGCGCGCGUAGGCGGUUUUGUUAAGUCGGAUGUGAAAGCCCCGGGCUCAACCCUGGGAACUGCAUUCGAUACUGGCCAGGCUAAAGUAUGGUAGAGGGGAAGUGGCAAUUCC
This 527-nucleotide ribosomal RNA is filed under the name uncultured bacterium. Its description in RNAcentral is "bacterial SSU rRNA". It matches the Rfam family "Bacterial small subunit ribosomal RNA", at positions 153 to 670 of the family's 1533-position model. The record is from RNAcentral.